Long non-coding RNA from Alnus glutinosa, 501 nucleotides. RefSeq lists it as uncharacterized. The record is from RefSeq and is a predicted model, not a curated record. NCBI's taxonomy places the organism in Eukaryota, Viridiplantae, Streptophyta, Magnoliopsida, Fagales, Betulaceae. The transcript is spliced from 3 exons.
CCCAAACCAGUUUCCCCAAAAUCAUUUUCCCCCCAAAAACCUCCCUCUCGAUCUCCUCCCUCAACUUCGCCGUCGACGGGCUCCAUCUCAUGCCGCGCCAUCUCCGUCGAGCUCCAUCGCCACUUUCCCCUCAAAAACCUCCCUCAACGCCCCCGUCGAUGGGCUCCUCUCCGGCCAUUCAUCUCCGCGCCACCGUCGACCAGCUCCAUCUUCGGUCGUUCCAUGUCCACGUCCACCUCCAUCUCACUCUAUAAAACUUCCAUUGCCACCGGUUUUUGGGACUGAUGAGACUGAGGAGUCAAAUCAGGAGCCUCAACAGAUUGGCAGAGAUGCUUGGCAUGAUCUUGCAUCAGGCACUGAAUAGUUAAUAGAGCUCUUGGGCUUCAGGAGCGCUUUGUAUUCACCUGAAACUAAGUGAUGUUUUCUGUUCAAGUUCUUGGAUCCUUCUUAUUGGGAUUAUUACCUAUUGGAUUUGAAGUGAAUCUUCGGGUAUUGACAAUA